Molecule: ribosomal RNA, 495 nt
Filed under: uncultured bacterium
Lineage: Bacteria
Description: partial 16S ribosomal RNA
Rfam family: Bacterial small subunit ribosomal RNA
Source: RNAcentral
GAUGAACGCUGGCGGCGUGCCUAAUACAUGCAAGUAGAACGCUGAAGGAGGAGCUUGCUCUUCUGGAUGAGUUGCGAACGGGUGAGUAACGCGUAGGUAACCUGCCUGGUAGCGGGGGAUAACUAUUGGAAACGAUAGCUAAUACCGCAUGACAACAGUUAUUGCAUGAUAACUGUUUAAAAGGGGCAACUGCUCCACUACCAGAUGGACCUGCGUUGUAUUAGCUAGUUGGUGAGGUAACGGCUCACCAAGGCGACGAUACAUAGCCGACCUGAGAGGGGGAUCGGCCACACUGGGACUGAGACACGGCCCAGACGCCUACGGGAGGCAGCAGUAGGGAAUCUUCGGCAAUGGACGGAAGUCUGACCGAGCAACGCCGCGGGAGUGAAGAAGGUUGUCGGAUCGUAAAGCUCUGUUGUAAGAGAAGAACGAGUGUGAGAGUGGAAAGUUCACACUGUGACGGUAUCUUACCAGAAAGGGACGGCUAACUACGUG